This 497-nucleotide ribosomal RNA is filed under the name uncultured bacterium. Its description in RNAcentral is "partial 16S ribosomal RNA". It matches the Rfam family "Bacterial small subunit ribosomal RNA", at positions 28 to 507 of the family's 1533-position model. The record is from RNAcentral.
GAUGAACGCUGGCGGCGUGCCUAAUACAUGCAAGUCGAGCGAACAGACGAGGAGCUUGCUUCUCUGAUGUUAGCGGCGGACGGGUGAGUAACACGUGGAUAACCUACCUAUAAGACUGGGAUAACUUCGGGAAACCGGAGCUAAUACCGGAUAAUAUAUUGAACCGCAUGGUUCAAAAGUGAAAGACGGUCUUGCUGUCACUUAUAGAUGGAUCCGCGCUGCAUUAGCUAGUUGGUAAGGUAACGGCUUACCAAGGCAACGAUGCAUAGCCGACCUGAGAGGGUGAUCGGCCACACUGGAACUGAGACACGGUCCAGACUCCUACGGGAGGCAGCAGUAGGGAAUCUUCCGCAAUGGGCGAAAGCCUGACGGAGCAACGCCGCGUGAGUGAUGAAGGUCUUCGGAUCGUAAAACUCUGUUAUUAGGGAAGAACAUAUGUGUAAGUAACUGUGCACAUCUUGACGGUACCUAAUCAGAAAGCCACGGCUAACUACGUG